This 473-nucleotide ribosomal RNA is filed under the name uncultured bacterium. Its description in RNAcentral is "partial 16S ribosomal RNA". It matches the Rfam family "Bacterial small subunit ribosomal RNA", at positions 355 to 820 of the family's 1533-position model. The record is from RNAcentral.
UAGGGAAUCUUCCACAAUGGACGCAAGUCUGAUGGAGCAACGCCGCGUGAGUGAAGAAGGUUUUCGGACCGUAAAGCUCUGUUGUUGGUGAAGAAGGAUAGAGGUAGUAACUGGCCUUUAUUUGACGGUAAUCAACCAGAAAGUCACGGCUAACUACGUGCCAGCAGCCGCGGUAAUACGUAGGUGGCAAGCGUUGUCCGGAUUUAUUGGGCGUAAAGCGAGCGCAGACGGAAGAAUAAGUCUGAUGUGAAAGCCCUCGGCUUAACCGAGGAAUUGCAUCGGAAACUGUUUUUCUUGAGUGCAGAAGAGGAGAGUAGAACUCCAUGUGUAGCGGUGGAAUGCGUAGAUAUAUGGAAGAAUACCAGUGGCGAAGGCGGCUCUCUGGUCUGCAACUGACGCUGAGGCUCGAAAGCAUGGGUAGCGAACAGGAUUAGAUACCCUGGUAGUCCAUGCCGUAAACGAUGAGUGCUAAG